GUUUCUGUAGUGUAGUGGUUAUCACGUUUGCCAAACACGGCGAAAGGUCCCCGGUUCGAAACCGGGCAGAAACU
This 74-nucleotide transfer RNA is filed under the name Merluccius polli (Benguela hake). Its description in RNAcentral is "tRNA-Val". It matches the Rfam family "tRNA". Rfam says of the family: Transfer RNA (tRNA) molecules are approximately 80 nucleotides in length. Their secondary structure includes four short double-helical elements and three loops (D, anti-codon, and T loops). Lineage: Eukaryota; Metazoa; Chordata; Actinopteri; Gadiformes; Merlucciidae. The record is from RNAcentral.